Molecule: long non-coding RNA, 744 nt
Organism: Oncorhynchus kisutch (coho salmon)
Lineage: Eukaryota; Metazoa; Chordata; Actinopteri; Salmoniformes; Salmonidae
Source: Ensembl
AUGAUGCUCCUAUGCAUCCCACUACUUCACUUCUGCAAGCAUAGGAGAGCCAGGCAGUCACCAAGCAAAAGACAGAAGGACACAGCAGAGUUCAUAGUGACGGAUGAGACCCUCUUUCAGGAGGAGGACAAUGUCUAUGCCAAUAAAGCCAUGCUGGAUGAGGCCCUCGGGCCCAACAGGACAGUGGACAGGGAAAUCGACGACACAGACCUCCUCCACUACGCCAACUUGAACUUCUCCAAACUCCAGGCCAAGGUGGCCGAGCGGGGGGUGGGGGAGGGAGAGAUCAGGGGAGUCGCCUCCAAAACGACAGAGUACGCAGUGAUCCGCCUGCACUCCACAGGCAGUAUCGAGGGAGGGGCUGAGAAGAAGGAGGCCAUUCCUGCUCUGGAGCAGGGGGAGCACGCUGAGGACCAUGGAGCUAAAGUCUUGGAAGAAUCCCAGGCAGGGCACGAGAGUGAUGAGGAAGAAGAAGUUGCAAAGGAUUCUGCGCUGCCAGAGCUACAGGGUGUGACUAAUUAUGCCCUCAGUGUCCAGGAGUAUACAGAGGCCCCACUGGGACAGUCUGAGCAGCACAACCCAGCAGAAACUGCAGUGGACGAGGUGACACUGCUUUCUGAGCCGAAAGAUUCCUCUAAUGGUGAAGAGGAGGAAACAUAUGGGAACAUAUGUCGUGGUCAGGUCAUAUCUGAAGCAAAUUGUGGACAACCUGAGUUAGAUAGGAGGAAGAGUAGGAGAGUGUAA